Molecule: small nucleolar RNA, 981 nt
Organism: Leishmania braziliensis MHOM/BR/75/M2904
Lineage: Eukaryota; Euglenozoa; Kinetoplastea; Trypanosomatida; Trypanosomatidae
Source: RefSeq, a predicted model, not a curated record
CUAUUGUGCCAUACCGCCUCGAGGACUUCAACGUGGCGCUGUACCACUCGCUUCUGCGUCGUCUGACAUCGUACUACACCUUCAUGCCGUUCCAUCAGUAUGUGGCGCUCGUCGAGGUUGACUGGGAGGCGUAUGUGUCGGUGAUUGCACGGGCGGUGCUUGAGCACCUGGCACGGUGUGUUAUGCGGUCUUCAUACAACAUGCAGCAGUUAGGAAGUCCCUCCCCUGCAGCCUCGGCGGGUGAAUUUGCUCGCAUUGUGAGAGUAGUUGGGGAUUCUCCCGCUCUCAGCGCCCCCUCCAAACCGGAAACUACUACUGUUGCUGCUACCGAAGCCCGCUUCGCUUUUCCAGAGCCGCGGCGCCACUUUACCAACGAUCUAGUGUACCAGGGCGCUGAGCGCAUCCCACCGAUGCCGUUCUUUACGCACAAGUACUUGGAUCUCUUUGUGUAUGUUCAGCGCAUCGGCCUAACAGCGAACGGCUGGCGCGGUGACAUGACACCUGGCAUGGCGCCGCAGGUGCUUACCUCCAUUAUUGCGCAGCCUGAUAUUCAGCGGCUCAUGACCGCUUUGGCUGCGAAAGACGGUGCAGCGAGGAAAGAGGUGGAGGCGCAAGCGAAACGUAUUCUGCUGCAGUGCGGCGAUACGCUGAAUCACGUGCAGUGUCGCGCGACGGGUCUCAUGAUCCGUGAGAUCUUUCGUCGCAUCUACUGCCGCAUCGACGUUAACGGCGGCGCCUAUGAGCGUCUCCACCGCUACUGCGCCAUGCCUCGUGUCGCCGUCGUCUUCGUCCCGCUGCAUCGCUCUUACAUUGACUUCCUCGUUCUCUCCAAGAUUCUGGCGAUCAUGCAGCUGCCGCUGCCGCACGUUGUAGCUGGAGAAAACUUUCUGAGCAUGGGCCUCCUCGCCACUCUGAUGCGAGGUAGCGGCGCCUUCUUCAUGCGCCGCUCCUUCCGCAGCGAUCCCCUGUACGCCGCGCUGC